GCCAGACUCCUACGGGAGGCAGCAGUGAGGAAUAUUGGUCAAUGGGCGCGAGCCUGAACCAGCCAAGUCGCGUGAAGGAUGACGGCCCUACGGGUUGUAAACUUCUUUUGUCAGGGAGCAAUUGAGUCCACGUGUGGUCUUAGCGAGAGUACCUGAAGAAAAAGCAUCGGCUAACUCCGUGCCAGCAGCCGCGGUAAUACGGAGGAUGCGAGCGUUAUCCGGAUUUAUUGGGUUUAAAGGGUGCGUAGGCGGAAUAUCAAGUCAGCGGUAAAAAUUCGGGGCUCAACCCCGUCGUGCCGUUGAAACUGGCUGUCUUGAGAUGUCGAGAGGUAUGCGGAAUGCGCAGUGUAGCGGUGAAAUGCAUAGAUAUCACGCAGAACUCCGAUUGCGAAGGCAGCAUACCGGCGCUCAACUGACGCUCAUGCACGAAAGUGUGGGUAUCGAACAGGAUUAGAUACCCUCGUA
RNAcentral lists this ribosomal RNA (465 nucleotides) under uncultured bacterium. Its description in RNAcentral is "bacterial SSU rRNA". It matches the Rfam family "Bacterial small subunit ribosomal RNA", at positions 330 to 792 of the family's 1533-position model. The record is from RNAcentral.